This 529-nucleotide ribosomal RNA is filed under the name uncultured bacterium. RNAcentral's name for it is "bacterial SSU rRNA". It matches the Rfam family "Bacterial small subunit ribosomal RNA", at positions 338 to 867 of the family's 1533-position model. The record is from RNAcentral.
CCUACGGGAGGCAGCAGUAAGGAAUAUUGGACAAUGGGCGCAAGCCUGAUCCAGCCAUGCCGCGUGAAGGAUUAAGGUCCUCUGGAUUGUAAACUUCUUUUAUAGGGGACGAAAAAAGGGCAUUCUUGUUCACUUGACGGUACCCUAUGAAUAAGCACCGGCUAACUCCGUGCCAGCAGCCGCGGUAAUACGGAGGGUGCAAGCGUUAUCCGGAUUCACUGGGUUUAAAGGGUGCGUAGGCGGGCAGGUAAGUCAGUGGUGAAAUCCUAGAGCUUAACUCUAGAACUGCCAUUGAUACUAUCUGUCUUGAAUAUUGUGGAGGUAAGCGGAAUAUGUCAUGUAGCGGUGAAAUGCUUAGAUAUGACAUAGAACACCUAUUGCGAAGGCAGCUUACUACGCAUAUAUUGACGCUGAGGCACGAAAGCGUGGGGAUCAAACAGGAUUAGAUACCCUGGUAGUCCACGACCUAACGAUAGAUACUCGACAUACGCGAUACACUGUGUGUGUGUGAGNGAAGACGAUUAAGUAA